GAUGAACGCUGGCGGCGUGCCUAAUACAUGCAAGUCGAGCGAACAGACGAGGAGCUUGCUCCUCUGACGUUAGCGGCGGACGGGUGAGUAACACGUGGAUAACCUACCUAUAAGACUGGGAUAACUUCUGGAAACCGGAGCUAAUACCGGAUAAUAUAUUGAACCGCAUGGUUCAAUAGUGAAAGACGGGUUUGCUGUCACUUAUAGAUGGAUCCGCGCCGCAUUAGCUAGUUGGUAAGGUAACGGCUUACCAAGGCAACGAUGCGUAGCCGACCUGAGAGGGUGAUCGGCCACACUGGAACUGAGACACGGGCCAGACUCCUACGGGAGGCAGCAGUAGGGAAUCUUCCGCAAUAGGCGAAAGCCUGACGGAGCAACGCCACGUGAGUGAUGAAGGUCUUCGGAUCGUAAAACUCUGUUAUUAGGGAAGAACAAAUGUGUAAGUAACUAUGCACGUCUUGACGGUACCUAAUCAGAAAGCCACGGCUAACUACGUG
RNAcentral lists this ribosomal RNA (497 nucleotides) under uncultured bacterium. Its description in RNAcentral is "partial 16S ribosomal RNA". It matches the Rfam family "Bacterial small subunit ribosomal RNA", at positions 28 to 507 of the family's 1533-position model. The record is from RNAcentral.